Rhipicephalus microplus (southern cattle tick) is the source of this 469-nucleotide long non-coding RNA. NCBI's taxonomy places the organism in Eukaryota, Metazoa, Arthropoda, Arachnida, Ixodida, Ixodidae. The record is from RefSeq and is a predicted model, not a curated record.
AGGAUACAUUAAUAAGUUCCUCUCCUGGAAUGCUUUCGUACCGCUGAGCAGGCUCACAUUCGGAGUGUACUUGAUCCAUGCUCCUUUUAUUAUCUUGUAUCUGCACAUCUCCAGAGAACGCAUCUUAUUCUCACACUUCACUUUGGUGUCGCUGUUCUUUGCAAUCUUGCUUUGGAGCUACUGCCUCACAUACCUAAUGUUUGUGCUGUGCGAGGCUCCAACAGCACAGCUAGACAAGCUAAUCUUCAUGGGCACCGGAAGGAAGGAGCGGCAACCGAAACUGCCUCUCCUGAAUGGCGCUCAGCACGACAAAACGUCCGUUGUCCCGACAGAAAGCGAACAAAAAGAUCUGGCUGCCAUUGACCCGGAAAGUGGCAACAAAAAUAACAAGAGCAGCAACAAUGGGCUUAUCAUUGUUGGCCAAACUGUUACAUGUCAUCUUUAAGAAUAUUGUGUGAACCCGCUUUAA